This 484-nucleotide ribosomal RNA is filed under the name uncultured bacterium. RNAcentral's name for it is "partial 16S ribosomal RNA". It matches the Rfam family "Bacterial small subunit ribosomal RNA", at positions 30 to 507 of the family's 1533-position model. The record is from RNAcentral.
AUUGAACGCUGGCGGCAGGCCUAACACAUGCAAGUCGAGCGGAUGAAGGGAGCUUGCUCCUGGAUUCAGCGGCGGACGGGUGAGUAAUGCCUAGGAAUCUGCCUGGUAGUGGGGGAUAACGUCCGGAAACGGGCGCUAAUACCGCAUACGUCCUGAGGGAGAAAGUGGGGGAUCUUCGGACCUCACGCUAUCAGAUGAGCCUAGGUCGGAUUAGCUAGUUGGUGGGGUAAAGGCCUACCAAGGCGACGAUCCGUAACUGGUCUGAGAGGAUGAUCAGUCACACUGGAACUGAGACACGGUCCAGACUCCUACGGGGGGCAGCAGUGGGGAAUAUUGGACAAUGGGCGAAGGCCUGAUCCAGCCAUGCCGCGUGUGUGAAGAAGGUCUUCGGAUUGUAAAGCACUUUAAGUUGGGAGGAAGGGCAGUAAGUUAAUACCUUGCUGUUUUGACGUUACCAACAGAAUAAGCACCGGCUAACUUCGUG